UGUUCUYUAAAUAGGGACUUGUAUGAAUGGCCACACGAGGGUUUUACUGUCUCUUACUUCCAAUCAGUGAAAUUGACCUUCCCGUGAAGAGGCGGGAAUAUAUUAAUAAGACGAGAAGACCCUAUGGAGCUUUAACUACUUAGCCCAAAAGAAACAAAUUUCAUUGCUAAGGAAACAACAACACUCUUUAUGGGCUAACAGCUUUGGUUGGGGUGACCUCGGAGAACAAGAAAUCCUCCGAGCGAUUUUAAAGACUAGACCUACAAGUCGAAUCACACAAUCGUUUAUUGAUCCAAAAAAUUGAUCAACGGAACAAGUUACCCUAGGGAUAACAGCGCAAUCCUAUUCAAGAGUCCAUAUCGACAAUAGGGUUUACGACCUCGAUGUUGGAUCAGGACAUCCCGAUGGUGCAACCGCUAUCAAAGGUUCGUUUGUUCAACGAUUAAAGU
This 449-nucleotide ribosomal RNA is filed under the name Cervus elaphus (red deer). Its description in RNAcentral is "partial large subunit ribosomal RNA". The record is from RNAcentral. Lineage: Eukaryota; Metazoa; Chordata; Mammalia; Artiodactyla; Cervidae.